GUCAUCGCACUGGCUCCAGGGUUUCUGGGUCAAGCGUUCUGAGAAGCGCGGUCCGUUAACUUUGGCGGACUAAAUGUUCCAGGGGCUGUUGGGACGACCCUACUGGUCGUCUUUAAUGUCUCCUUGUUCGGUUAGCCGAUGGAGAGAAAGUUUCAAGUUUCUUUUAACGUCAGGUCGGAUGAGCAGACAAGAGCUACAACUCAUGCUUCAUGUUUGUGGGGAUCCUAAAAGUAGAGGCCUACUUCAUGCUGGCUUUUACUGCCCUGGGCAAGUGCUUAUCCAGGCAUCACAAGAACAUAGUGACCAUCACCAUCGGUGAGUCUAUAAACAAGAUGGGUUCAUCUCUUAUUUCACUCAGGUGAAGCUUGCAGUGGUUUUUUUCCGCCAAGCAGUGCUGAUGAAUGUUGGCUAGAAUCAGACUGAAAUAGGUUCUGUAGGAAGUUAUGCAGCAGCUCAGCUCUUUUCCUGCCGCUCAGUUACUUUUUAAUUUCAGGUUUACUCAGAGGAAAAACAGUGUGAAGAAUGCUCUGCCAAUUUGUUUAGGUGUAAAAAUCGUGAAGAGGAAAAGCCUGCAGUAGCGGGGGGUAGGGAAGUUGCAGAUAAAAGCCUUUUCACAUGGUGAAGUCACUACGUGACCAUAGAGUGUGUUUUUAAGUUCCGGGUGGCUCAGGUCAUUGUAGCAUGAAAAGCUUUUUUUUUUUUCUUUUUCUUUUAAUGGAGUUAGAGUCCCAUUAAAACCUUUUUGAUUCAGGUUUAUUUAGUAUUUAAAAAUUCAGCUAUACUUGCUAUAGCUUUUUAUAACCAUGAUUAUAAGGGGCUUGUCUUUGGCAGGCAAAUAAUUUCUGAACCAAAAUGUCUCAGCAGAUUGUAACCGUUAUAUUAGCAGGCCUGCAGGAGGCACAGUGGUGUCUUCUCAUAGGAUCUGGGUCUGAAUCCUUGUUCCUGGUAUGAAACCCUUGAUAAAGCUGCUUACCACCUUGUAAAAGUGUCAGAUAAAUGAAUGAAUAAGUAAAAAUUAUAUUAGAUGCUGUCACAUGUACAUCUUUCAGACUCAUAGGACCCA
RNAcentral lists this long non-coding RNA (1063 nucleotides) under Scleropages formosus (Asian bonytongue). RNAcentral describes it as "lncRNA (ENSSFOG00015029267.1)". The record is from RNAcentral. Lineage: Eukaryota; Metazoa; Chordata; Actinopteri; Osteoglossiformes; Osteoglossidae.